AUGAAGGACGUUACUAACGACGAUAUGCUUUGGGUAGCUGUAAGUAAGCGUUGAUCCAGAGAUUUCCGAAUGGGGGAACCCAGCAUGAGUUAUGUCAUGUUAUCGACAUGUGAAUUCAUAGCAUGUCAGAAGGCAGACCCGGAGAACUGAAACAUCUUAGUACCCGGAGGAAGAGAAAGAAAAAUCGAUUCCCUGAGUAGCGGCGAGCGAAACGGGAAUAGCCCAAACCAACAAGCUUGCUUGUUGGGGUUGUAGGACACUCUAUACGGAGUUACAAAAGAACAUGUUAGACGAAUCAUCUGGAAAGAUGAAUCAAAGAAGGUAAUAAUCCUGUAGUCGAAAACAUAUUCUCUCUUGAGUGGAUCCUGAGUACGACGGAGCACGUGAAAUUCCGUCGGAAUCUGGGAGGACCAUCUCCUAAGGCUAAAUACUCUCUAGUGACCGAUAGUGAACCAGUACCGUGAGGGAAAGGUGAAAAGUACCCCGGAAGGGGAGUGAAAGAGAACUUGAAACCGUGUGCUUACAAGUAGUCAGAGCCCGUUAAUGGGUGAUGGCGUGCCUUUUGUAGAAUGAACCGGCGAGUUACGAUCUGAUGCAAGGUUAAGCAGCAAAUGUGGAGCCGCAGCGAAAGCGAGUCUGAAUAGGGCGUUGAGUAUUUGGUCGUAGACCCGAAACCAGGUGAUCUACCCUUGGUCAGGUUGAAGUUCAGGUAACACUGAAUGGAGGACCGAACCGACUUACGUUGAAAAGUGAGCGGAUGAACUGAGGGUAGCGGAGAAAUUCCAAUCGAACUUGGAGAUAGCUGGUUCUCUCCGAAAUAGCUUUAGGGCUAGCCUCAAGUGAUGAUUAUUGGAGGUAGAGCACUGUUUGGACGAGGGGCCCCUCUCGGGUUACCGAAUUCAGACAAACUCCGAAUGCCAAUUAAUUUAACUUGGGAGUCAGAACAUGGGUGAUAAGGUCCGUGUUCGAAAGGGAAACAGCCCAGACCACCAGC
This 994-nucleotide ribosomal RNA is filed under the name Staphylococcus epidermidis. Its description in RNAcentral is "bacterial LSU rRNA". It matches the Rfam family "Bacterial large subunit ribosomal RNA", at positions 49 to 1039 of the family's 2925-position model. The record is from RNAcentral. Lineage: Bacteria; Bacillati; Bacillota; Bacilli; Caryophanales; Staphylococcaceae.